This is a long non-coding RNA of Oncorhynchus keta (chum salmon), 3551 nucleotides long. RefSeq lists it as uncharacterized. NCBI's taxonomy places the organism in Eukaryota, Metazoa, Chordata, Actinopteri, Salmoniformes, Salmonidae. The transcript is spliced from 3 exons. The record is from RefSeq and is a predicted model, not a curated record.
ACCUCCAACCACACUCACUGUACUACUACCCUCCCCAUUAUUCAUUAUGAUCUGAAAGGCUACACUGAUCCUAGAUCAGCAUUCCUACUUUGAGACGCUUUGUGAAAUACAGACCCUGGUGAGUAAUUGCAGUCUUUUGGUGUAAAUGGUCUCAAUCUCAGUGCUCAAAUGGGAAUAGGUUUCCCAGGUUACACUUAAGAGAACCAAACAGCACAUCUCGUUAGUGAACAGUAGGAUGUAUAGUGGGGUCCCAAAUUUAAAUAAUCUAAAAUUAAAUAAUCUAAACUUUUAUUUUAUUUAACGAGGCAAGUCAGUUAAGAACAAAUUCAUAUUUACAAUGACGGCCUAUUGUGGUCCUUCUGUAGCUCAGUUGGUAGAGCAUGGCGCUUGUAACGCCAGGGUAGUGGGUUCGAUUCCGGGACCACCCAUACGUAGAAUGUAUGCACAUUGGAUAAAAGCGUCUGCUAAAUGGCAUAUAUUAUUACAAAUGAUUGACACCUCGAUAAAGAUGAGCAAUUUAAUGACUAUAAAAUGAAUAAAUAAUAUUAUUUGAAUCUAAUUCUGCCAGGAGGCUGAAACUUGGCCAUAAGUGGAUCUUCCAGUAAUACAAUGACCCCAAGAAAACAACAUCAAAAUCCAUCCAACACAAGUUGUUAAUUGGCCACACAAAUCAACAUUUUGCUAUGGCCAUCUCACGCUCCGGGCUUGAAACCCAUUUGAGAACGUGUGGAUUUAAUUGGAGGGCGCAUCCAUCAAUCAUUUUGACCCCUCGCUUUUCGAGACUGAAAAAAGUAUUACUCGUUGAAAAAAAAAAAAGUAGUUUUUUUUUUUCUCUGAGCAAUUGAGGAAAACAGAUUUUUUUUUUUUUGGCAAAAAUAUCCUAAAAUUGUACGAGUAUAAAAUAAAUGUAAUUCUCCAAUAUAGCUCAGUAUUGACUUAUUUUACAUUUGUAAUUUAUGUGUCAAUUUCAGACCUCACUGUAUAUGAUGGUGCAGUAAUGAUUUCAUGAUUUAGUCACAAACCAGCAGUCAAAGAAUGUGUGGUCAUUUAGCCGUAAAAUAUAUAUAUAUAUUUUUGAUUUUGCUUAUUGAGUCCAUUUGAAACUAGCAUAUUGAUAUAUCCUUAAAUCUCAAAAGCUCCACCACCUUGGGUUGGCGUAAUAAGUUUAUUUCCAAAAUGUCACGUCCCUUUUGGGUUGUACUGUGCACUUUACUACAGACAACUAUUCUAGCUGCCGCCCACACCCCAAAACGAUUCAUUAUUACAAGAAAUGUAUAACUAAAAUGUAUCUUAAGAAAUUAUCGUAAGAAUGUCACUGUGACCAUUCUUCUUCUUCUUUUUUUAAUGGUAGCUAAAUGAACUUUUUGUUGUGGUAUAACAGUCAGCGGUGCCCAUAUAUUAAAAUAUGUUAACUAGAGUAUGACAAUAAAAUCCCAGAAUGACUUCAGUUAAGUGAUUUUUAUAGUAACUUAAAGUCAAAGAUUUAAAACUUAAAGAUUUUUAUAGUAACUUAAGUCAGACUUUCUGCCAAUAUAUCAAAAUGGAAAUAUGUAUCCCAUGUCUCACUGACUUAGUAUAACAUUGUAGUUCAAGGUAUAGCUGAGCUAAGGAACAACCAAAAACCGAAAACAGCUGCGUGAAAGUACUUGACCACUGAUUAAGGUUAUGGGACGCUCAGAAGGGACCGUAAUUUUAGAAAUGGAGCCCCAACAUACGGUUGAAGUCAUCCCAAAAGGCUGGAAUGACAACAUUUGGUGACAAAUGUACAAACAGCCUUGAUUUUAUGUAUGUAUUUGUGCCAUAGACAAUGUUGUCAAGGUCAUUCAUAUUUUCUUUGGUUGUCUAGUCUGAAGUCUGAAGAAGGGACUUUCAGUCUGAAGGGACUUUCAGGGACUUAUGACAAAAUGUUCCAACCAAUUCAUCUCUGAAGUUUGUAUCUACUAACCAUUUCAACGUGCUCUCAUUAAAGAUGUGCAUGAAGCUGCACCUAUAUUUGGGUGGUGAUGUAGUAUAGCAUACAACCCUACAUCUGGUCCUGCUGCCACUUCUAGGUCUGAUAGCAGCAGGCCUAGAAUCUCCACUUCUAGGUCUGAUAGCAGCAGGCGUGGAGUCUCCACUUCUAGGUCUGAUAGCAGCAGGCCUGGAGUCUCCACUUCUAGGUCUGAUAGCAGCAGGCGUGGAGUCUCCACUUCUAGGUCUGAUAGCAGCAGGCGUGGAGUCUCCACUUCUAGGUCUGAUAGCAGCAGGCCUGGAGUCUCCACUUCUAGGUCUGAUAGCAGCAGGCCUGGAGUCUCCACUUCUAGGUCUGAUAGCAGCAGGCCUGGAGUCUCCACUUCUAGGUCUGAUAGCAGCAGGCCUGGAGUCUCCACUUCUAGGUCUGAUAGCAGCAGGCCUGGAGUCUCCACUUCUAGGUCUGAUAGCAGCAGGCCUAGAAUCUCCACUUCUAGGUCUGAUAGCAGCAGGUCUAGAAUCUCCACUUCUAGGUCUGACAGCAGCAGGCGUGGAGUCUCCACUUCUAGGUCUGAUAGCAGCAGGCCUGGAGUCUCCACUUCUAGGUCUGACAGCAGCAGGCUUCAGUUAUGCACACUUGCCUAUACAGUAAUAAGCUGCUUUCAUGCCUUGAUAACAUCUCCAUAUAUUUUUAUUUAUUUUCCAAAGGUAAGUUUAACCAUUAACAAGGGGAGAAGGGAAUUGCUGGAUUCCUCAAUACCCCAGUCAUUCUGUUGCAUUACAUUGUCAAUUUAAGAGCUCUGUACUCUUGACUAUUUUGAUAAACUAAUAAUAAGUGUACAAUUAUUUAACUUCUGUUAUUUUGUUUCCAUGUUUUAAUGCAAGACAGUCAUACUCAGAAACAUCUUGUUCAAAUAGUGUAUUGGUGGACAGAUUUCUGAUUCAACAGCCAUACUUGUUUGAUCUGUUAUUUUGUACAAUUAGAAAGAAGAAAGAAAAAAAGCCAUUUAAUUACAAGAAUGACUUGAGCCAUUAAUUACACUGAUGAUCAAGUUCAAGACGAACAGGAAAUGGUAGUGAAAAGUUUGGAUGGUUUUAAGACCUCCCAGCAGUGUUCGAAAACAGUAUUGAAUAUGUUGUGUUGUUGACAUUGAUAUAUUUUGUUCUUAUUUACAAAUGUUAAUUCUUUGAUUUUGGGCCAUUGGUUUCACUUCCUAGCCCUUUGUUACUGUGGUGAAGACAGCCUCAAACCUUCAUCGUUUUUAUAUUUUGGUUGCUUUAGAACAUCGUCAUCAACAUACAGAUAGAUGUUCAUAACAACUUUUUGUUCCUGUGAAACACCGGUUAUUGUAGGAAUGUCAGAACUGUUGGUUAAGCAGGUUGUUUGUAUGCUGCCUCUCCUGGGAAAGGAAAGUAUACUGCGUUAAGAUGCAUAAGUUGUAUAUAAAAAUUAAAAAUAUUAAAAAUAUCUGUUUUUCCAACAGACAAACUAUGUAAAUGAUCUUGUACCAUACUGUGAAUGUUUUUUUGAUUUUUAAAAAAUAUAUAUAUAUAUACAAAUGCUUAAUGGUGAUAAAUAAAAACAUUAUUCAAAAGCAAUA